This 663-nucleotide long non-coding RNA is filed under the name Cyanistes caeruleus (blue tit). RNAcentral describes it as "lncRNA (ENSCCEG00000010539.1)". The record is from RNAcentral. Lineage: Eukaryota; Metazoa; Chordata; Aves; Passeriformes; Paridae.
CUUGAAUCAAUAUUUAUCUGAAAUGUUUUUCUCAUUCUUCUGGGAGAAAACCAUAUCGUGCAGCUUCUUGGCUGAUAGUUUAGGGCAGGUCACAUCUUCAGAACUGGUUUUCCUGCAGGAAUACGGACUCACAGCGCCCGCAUCCAGAGCAGAGCGGCACGGAGGGAAAGGCUUCAGCACCACGGGCAGCGCCCACGCCAGGGCAGGCGGCGGGAGUGGGCACGGCCGGACGGCAGCGGCUCAUGGCUCAUUGCCAAAGGGAGGCAAGCUGGUCGUGCUGAGCAGGAAGGGCCUUUUUGUGCCUGGGCAAAGGUGGCUGUGGUGCGCCUUGGAGAAAGCACAGAACAACAGAGCACGGUGGAAAGCUGCUCUGAUAGAGCCUAUGCUAUGGGAAAGAGAUACUCCUGGAAUAUGGCGAGACCAGAGAAGAUGGAGCCAAGCGGCACCAGUUGUGAGAGUGCAGCAGCAAGGCUUGAGUUUCAGAAGUGGAAGAGGGGUGAAGCAGUCCCACACUGUGAGCAUUCAGAAGCUGCUUGCAAAGAAUUUGGCUUCCAGUUUAUGAAGAUCCAUGACCACUUCAACAUGUUUAAAGGUAAUUUAAACACAGCUAUGAAGGAAAAGGAGAGUAAAUUAAGAACAUCUGUGCUCUGGGAGUUGCAGGGC